UUUCUCUAUCUCUCAGCACAUCAACAGUAAAUACCACUGAGUCAAUCUUCAUGUCUCCAUCAUCAACUGAUAUAUCCUUCACAGUAUUAAUGUCAGAACUAAUCUUAUCUAAUUUGUAAUUCACAUCAUCCACUGCUAUGUCCUUCACUGCAUCUAUACUAGAAAAAACUUUUGUGUCUUGUUUGUGGUUCCCAUCAUCUGACGCACAAUCUUGAAAUGUUGGAGGAUCCACAUCCUCCCUCCAGACAUCUUUCUGAUCUGGCUUGUUGUGAGGAACUAUCAGACUGCUGUCAUCCACCUUUCCUUCCAC
This 310-nucleotide long non-coding RNA is filed under the name Gossypium raimondii (Peruvian cotton). RNAcentral describes it as "long non-coding RNA (GRAI_LNC006730)". Lineage: Eukaryota; Viridiplantae; Streptophyta; Magnoliopsida; Malvales; Malvaceae. The record is from RNAcentral.